GACGAACGCUGGCGGCGUGCUUAACACAUGCAAGUCGAACGGAAAGGCCCUGCUUGCAGGGUGCUCGAGUGGCGAACGGGUGAGUAACACGUGGGUGAUCUGCCCCUUACUUUGGGAUAAGCCUGGGAAACUGGGUCUAAUACUGGAUAGGACCAUGCUGUAGGUGGUGUGGUGGAAAGAUUAGUUUCGGUAAGGGAUGAGCUCGCGGCCUAUCAGCUUGUUGGUGGGGUAAUGGCCUACCAAGGCGUCGACGGGUAGCCGGCCUGAGAGGGUGGACGGCCACAUUGGGACUGAGCUGCGGCCCAGACUCCUACGGGAGGCAGCAGUGGGGAAUAUUGCACAAUGGGCGCAAGCCUGAUGCAGCGACGCCGCGUGGGGGAUGACGGCCUUCUGGUUGUAAACUCCUUUCAGCCAUGACGAAGCCCUUGUGGUGACGGUAGUGGUAGAAGAAGCACCGGCUAACUACGUG
This 469-nucleotide ribosomal RNA is filed under the name uncultured bacterium. RNAcentral describes it as "partial 16S ribosomal RNA". It matches the Rfam family "Bacterial small subunit ribosomal RNA", at positions 28 to 507 of the family's 1533-position model. The record is from RNAcentral.